UGGGGAAUAUUGGACAAUGGGCGAAAGCCUGAUCCAGCGACGCCGCGUGGGUGAAGAAGGCCUGCGGGUUGUAAAGCCCUUUCGGUAGGGACGAAAACUCUUGCCUUAACACGGCAGGAGCUUGACUUAACCUACAUAAGAAGCACCGGCUAACUCUGUGCCAGCAGCCGCGGUAAUACAGAGGGUGCGAGCGUUAAUCGGAAUUACUGGGCGUAAAGCGCACGUAGUCGGCUUUGCAAGCCGGUUGUGAAAUCCCCGGGCUCAACCUGGGAACUGCAUCCGGGACUGCAUUGCUAGAGUAUGGGAGAGGGAAGCGGAAUUUCUGGUGUAGCAGUGAAAUGCGUAGAUAUCAGAAGGAACAUCAGUGGCGAAGGCGGCUUCCUGGACCAAUACUGACGAUCAGGUGCGAAAGCGUGGGGAGCAAACAGG
This 429-nucleotide ribosomal RNA is filed under the name uncultured Sinobacteraceae bacterium. Its description in RNAcentral is "bacterial SSU rRNA". It matches the Rfam family "Bacterial small subunit ribosomal RNA", at positions 355 to 776 of the family's 1533-position model. The record is from RNAcentral. Lineage: Bacteria; Pseudomonadati; Pseudomonadota; Gammaproteobacteria; Nevskiales; Nevskiaceae.